GGGGGAGGUUGGGUGGUUUAGGGUUUAAAAGUAUAAUUGGCGAGGUUUUGAAGUGUGAUUUAUGACUAAUUAAGAUUUUUUUUUGUAUUUUCUUGUUUAUUCUCUUUUUCUUAGCUUUCUAUUUGUAUUUUUAGUACGAAUGUAAUGCGACUGAUUUUUGUAAACUCUCCCUCUCUCUUUCUAAGUCCCUCCUCAAUUUUGAAAUUGACCACCUUUAUAUAGGCAUCAAAUAAGGGUAGAUAAACAGUGUAAUUUC
RNAcentral lists this long non-coding RNA (256 nucleotides) under Linum usitatissimum (flax). RNAcentral describes it as "long non-coding RNA (LUSI_LNC006468)". The record is from RNAcentral. Lineage: Eukaryota; Viridiplantae; Streptophyta; Magnoliopsida; Malpighiales; Linaceae.